GGUGAGCCUGUCAGACUGCUUUUUCGUAUCACCACUAUGUUAUAGGAUUCCAAUUGCAGUGAAAGAAGCUCUAAUUUUUCAGGUUUCUGAGAUAUGGGUGGCAAAUUUCUUAAUGGGACAUGGGAUUAUUUUUGCUAAAAUUUAGGAAAAACUAAAAUUUCAUUUGGAAUUCUUACUAGUGAGGCUGUAUUACUUGUAUGCGCAUAUUUUCUUUCUUGAAGUUGAUAAGGAAGAGGCAAAUUGGGCAGUAGGGAUGCAUGAGGACAAUAUACAAGUAAAGGAUGUUCUUUUUUUCCCAAAAUUUGAGAUAAUUGCACUGAAGGUCCAAAAGCUCCAUCCUAAGGAGGACUGUAGUUCAUGUGCAAUGGUUGUUUACUUUGCCAACUGCUUUGUUGAGCACUAUGUUACAUGGUAUGAGAUGACUUGCAAGGAUAAUCUCCCAACCUAUUGGAACAAAGGGAUAAAAAUAGUGCUAUUAUUUAUUGUUCCUCAAUUCUGAAGGAUGAGUUCAUAUCUAAGUAAUGAGCCUAUAGUUGCUUUUCUCCCAACCUAUUGGAACAAAGGGAUAAAAAUAGUGCUAUUAUUUAUUGUUCCUCAAUUCUGAAGGAUGAGUUCAUAUCUAAGUAAUGAGCCUAUAGUUGCUUUUCACAUGAUGGCAUUGAUGUUACUGCUCCAAUACAGGGAA
Molecule: long non-coding RNA, 685 nt
Filed under: Manihot esculenta (cassava)
Lineage: Eukaryota; Viridiplantae; Streptophyta; Magnoliopsida; Malpighiales; Euphorbiaceae
Description: long non-coding RNA (MESC_LNC000612)
Source: RNAcentral